Ovis aries (sheep) is the source of this 71-nucleotide transfer RNA. It matches the Rfam family "tRNA". From Rfam's summary of the family: Transfer RNA (tRNA) molecules are approximately 80 nucleotides in length. The record is from Rfam. NCBI's taxonomy places the organism in Eukaryota, Metazoa, Chordata, Mammalia, Artiodactyla, Bovidae.
GCACUGGAGGUUCAGCAGUAGAAUUCUUGCCUCCCACAGGGGAAAUCUGGGUUCAAUUCCCAGCCAGUGCA